Molecule: long non-coding RNA, 2033 nt
Filed under: Sus scrofa (pig)
Lineage: Eukaryota; Metazoa; Chordata; Mammalia; Artiodactyla; Suidae
Description: lncRNA (ENSSSCG00030003638.1)
Source: RNAcentral
GGUUGGUGGAAUCAUAGCCUCCAGGGCCUCUGGUCCCCCUCACCCUGUGCCUUCGUGGAAGGGAGGCCUGAGAGCUGUCCCCGGUCACCGGGGCCCCUGCCCUGACGCCAGGGGUCAGCCUCUCAAGGUUAGGGUCUGUCUCCUUCCCUCCCUCCCUUCAGCUUCGCACGUAAAGGGCACCCAGCUGCAGGACCUGCCUGUGUCCUCCGAGGCGCUGUCGGCCUGCGGGCUUGUGGCGGGGCCUCCGGGUGAAGCUCGAGGAGUGGAGCUGGGCCGGGUCGAUCGCUUCGUUUGGAUGGAAAAGAACCUAAAAUUUCUCAAUAAGGUUUCUAUUGAUUAGACGGUGGAAUGACCAUAUUUGGGGCAUGCUCAUGGGUUAAAUUCACUUGUUUGUUUUUCCUUUUUUGGGGGGCCGCAUUCGAGAGACUUGGAAGGUCCCUGGGCCAGGGAUUGAAUCAGAGCCGCAUGGGCGACCUACGCCACAGCUGAGGUAACACGGGACCCUUAACCCACUGCAGCACAGCGGGAACUCCCUGCUGCACGUCUCUGAGCCACACUGUCUUCCUUGAGGAGGCGCUGCUGAGGGUGACGGAGACCCCCCUACUGGAGGUGCCACUGAGGUGUGGCAGGGAGGGGGCAUCCAUCCGUCUGUCCCCAGGCCUCGGACCCUGGUGCCUGAGAGACACGGAUGCUGCAAGACUCCAUCUCCAGCACCACCACUGCUGCGCUCAGACCCUGGGGCUCUGUCAGGAGUCUGCCCUGCACGGCUUUUAUCAAAACAUCCAAAACUAGGCCAGAGACAAGGCCAGGGAACCUGCAGCCUUCGGGCCACUCCAGGCCGCCUACCAGGUUCCGGCAGAGCUGCCGGGCGGGACGUGGACCCCGCGGGCACUUUCGAGCCUCUGCACCCCAGCGUCCCUUCUGCUGCCGUGCUGUGGCCUCAGGGACAGUCACAAAGCCGGGCAGCAGUAAGUUCUCUGACUUCGUUCUGUUGUUCCUCCCUCCCCAGCCCCUGGCCACCACCCUCUGCUUUCUGUCUUUCUGAGUGUGACUCCUCCAGGGACCUCAUCAUAUAAGCAGAAUCCUACAGUCUGUGUCCUUUGGUGACGGGCUCAUUUCACUGAGCAUAAUGUCACAAGGUCUAUCCAGAGUGUUGCAGGUGUCAGGAUUUCUAUACCCUUUUUUUUUUUUUCGGCUGCACCUGGGGCACAUGGAAAUUCCUGGGCCAGGGGUGGAACCCGAGCCACAGAAGCCACCCAAGCCACUGCAGUGGCAACACCAGAUCCUUAACCCACUGCAGUGGCUCAGUGGGAACUCUGACUUCAUUCCUUUUUUUUUUUGUCUUUUUCUCCUUUUGCCAUUUCUUGGGCCACUCCCGCGGCAUAUAGAGGUUCUCAGGCUAGGGGUCGAAUCAGAGCUGUAGCCGCUGGCCUACACCAGAGCCACAGAAACUCGGGAUCCGAGCUGUGUCUGCACCCUACACCACAGCUCACAGCAAUGCCGGAUCCUUAGCCCACUGAGCAAGGCCAGGGAUCGAACCCGCAACCUUAUGGUUCCUAGUUGGAUUCAUUAACCACUGAGCCACGAUGGGAACUUCCUUCCUUUUUAAGGCUGAAUAAUAUUCCAUUGUAUGGAUGUACCACAUUGUGACUCUUUACCCAUCUGGCAAUGGACGCUUGGGUUCCCUCCCCCUUUUGGUUUCUGUGAAUAAAUGCUAUGGGGAAUGUGAGUGUGCAAAUAUCUGUUGAGGUCUCUGCUUUCAGUUCUUUGGGGGCAUACACAUGGAAGCUGAACUGCUAGACCAUAUGGUCAUUCUGUGGGGCGUGGUUUUCGUUUAUUUAUUUAUUUUUUAUUUUUUUGCUUUUUAGGGCCACACCUGCGGCAUAUGGAAGUUCCCAGGCUAGGGGUCGAAUUGGAGCUACAGGUGCUGGCCUACACCACAAACACAGUAAUGCAAAUCUGAGCUGCGUCUGCGACCUACACCACAGCUCAGAGCAACGCCGGAUCCUUAACCUACGGAGUGAGGCCAGGGA